Molecule: RNA transcript, 2973 nt
Organism: Sebastes umbrosus (honeycomb rockfish)
Lineage: Eukaryota; Metazoa; Chordata; Actinopteri; Perciformes; Sebastidae
Gene: nptnb
Gene name: neuroplastin b
Exons: 11
Source: RefSeq, a predicted model, not a curated record
UUUUUUUUUUAGGAAACAGACUUAUAUGUGUCGUCGGCUACAUAUCACCACUACUUCUCGUCGUCGGGGAAUCAUUCCUGCGCUCCUUUUUUUCAUUUUAAUCACCGAACCGUGACUGCUGGAGAGCGCAAGCAAAUGCGCAUCGGCGUGCGCAUCUUUGAGUCUUCAGAGGAGAAAAACACCGUGGACAAUCUCUCCCUGACAUCCAAAGACCUCUCCUCUGCAAUCCUCUCUUCUUCUUCACCACCGCCUAUGGCCGCACAUCAUCAUCGGCAUCCCUGAGCCGAGCUGGACCUUUUUCCAUCCAUUUACUUGUCCUCGAAUGGUCUCUGAAUCAAGGGGAGACAUUUCCACACAUUUUUUUUUUUAAAUCAUCUUUUUUUUUUUUUUUUUUAAAGAGCCCGGUAGGUGCUAUGUUGCUGGGCCCAUCUCUGUAAGAUCUUGUGAUUAAAUACACGAUCUGUCCUCCCACAUUCGUCCACAAACCGACCACAGAGAGAGAGAGAGAGAGAGAGAGAGAGAGAGACCUCCUGGUACUCUCCUAUACUGAGCUCCUGGCAGCGAUGCAUCCUAACGCAGUGAUGAUGCUGACUGUGGUGGUCCUUUUGGGGAACUUGAUGCUGCCUUUCAUCUCGGCGCAAAACGCUGGGUUUGUGAAGUCGCCAAUGUCUGAGACUAAGCUCACGGGGGACACCUUUGAGCUGUACUGCGACGUGGUCGGCAACCCCACUCCGGAGAUCCAGUGGUGGUAUGCCGAGAUCAACCGAGCUGACUCCUUCAAGCAGCUGUGGGACGGGGCCCGCAAGCGGCGGGUGUCCAUCAACACGGCCUACGGCACCAAUGGGGUCAGUGUGCUCGGCAUCACGCGUCUCACGCUGGAGGACUCUGGGACCUAUGAGUGCCGGGCCAGCAACGACCCCAAGCGCAAUGACCUUCGACAAAACCCUGCCACCACCUGGAUCCGCGCCCAGGCCACCAUUUCGGUGCUACAGAAACCAAAGAUCAAUGCCUCCGAUCAGAUCAUCCUGUCGGCGGACGCCCCUAAAAAAGAACUCAUCCUGCUGUGUAACCUCACCACGGCCCACACCCCCCACAGGGAAAGCUUCUGGAUGAAGAAUGGAAAGGAAAUCGCAAACACGCGGACAGAGCCGAGGAACACAUCGUACAGAAUCAAUAAACCACGGGCGGACGAUUCUGGGGAAUACAUGUGCGUUUACACAUUUGACAUGGCACCGAAUGCAAAUGCUACAAUUGAAGUAAAAGCUGACAGCAAUGCCAUCAACUUGAAUAAGGAAUCUGCUCUGAGAAAGGCAAAACCUGACAUCACUGGCCACAAACGAAGUGAAAAUAAAAACGAGGGGGAAAGCGCAAUGCUUUACUGCAAGUCUGUUGGUUACCCACAUCCCACCUGGACAUGGCGCAGAGUGGACGGGACAUCCUACACGGACAUUGACAACUCCACCGGACGCUUUAUCAUCACUAUCAGAGACAACUACACAGAGCUCAACAUACUAAACCUGGAUCUAAACACGGAUCCUGGAAUAUACCAAUGCAAUGCCACCAACGUGAUUGGAAACACCGCUGAGACCACUAUACUACGGGUGCGCAGCCACCUGGCACCGCUUUGGCCUUUCCUGGGUGUGCUUGCAGAAAUAAUAAUCCUAGUAGUCAUCAUUGUUGUGUACGAGAAACGCAAGUCGCCAGACGACAUUAUUGAAGAUGCAAGUAGUGGAGGCUUCAAGGCAAUAUGAUGACGAACCAGUUGGACCCAUGAAAACGAACUCAACAAACAACCACAAGGACAAAAACAUUCGCCAGAGGAAUACGAAAUAAGCAAUUUACUCAAAUGAGAUGGCUAAACUGCAUUUCUUUGACUACAUGAAGGUAUCAGAGGUGGAUGGAGCUCCGGGCUGUUUUCGAAAAAAGCAUAUCUUGUCUCAUUUUAUGAGAAACAAUAUCAGCAUAACACUGGCAACAAAAAGAACAUAAUGGCUGUCUUAAGCAUGCCUUAUUCAGUCUUGCGUGGAGGUUUCAGGAUGACGAAUAAUGACUAAAGCCACCACGAAAGGUGUACACAUUUUUAAUGUGCUGUUGAUGUCUCCUUUAUUCAUUUUAUCAUAUCCUCAAACGAGGUGAUCCCUUUUGUAUUACAUAUCAUGUACAAUGCAUGCAAGAUAAUUACGCAAUAGGAUACUCAGAAUAGACAUUUUCUGUUGUUAUCCCUCGUGUGGCUUUUUUUUGCAUCUAAAAUGACCUAUGUUUUUUAUGGAGUCAUCCUUAUAAUAUAUAUAUAUACAUAUGUAUAUGUAUAUAUACAUAUAUAUAUAGUUAGUUUUAUUCUUGAAAAUUUGUACAGCAUAUCAUGGUCAUUUAACUAUGUUUGAUUUUGUGACAAUGAGUCCACUUUUAACAGAACUUUUAUUGUGAAGCAACGGCUUCAAUGACUGGCAGUAUUUAAAUUUAAUUGAGAGUGAUUACAGAAAAUGACUAAUGUGUGUUUAACUAUCUAAACAGAAAUGAUAAGUGUAUUAUUAUUUUUUUCUUUCCAGAGUAACUUAGGUGUCUUGUAUAUGUUGAAGUAUGAGUGUUCAAAUGAUAGGAAAUCUGUAAAAAAAAUAAUAUUUUUUUUAUAUUUCCCAAUUUCAUUCAUUUAUUUUUAUUUAUUUUUUCUCUCUUUAACUGUAUAGCAUGGCUAUAAUCCUAUGCAAUAUGUAUUCUUAAAUAGAUAUAUGGAGGGCAGUUUGUUUUACUCAGUGAAGCUUUAAUAUUGUGGGAUCACUUGGAAGCUGGCAUAGCAAAAUUCACUGCUGUAGCUGCAUGACUCCUCUUUCAAUACAAUGUAUCCAUGUGUGUUGCCGUGGAAAUGGACCUGCGUAAAGGUGGGAAACAGAGGGACCAGAGUAUAUAGCCACGAUCAAACAUAUGAGUGAGACCAAUAUUUUUUUUUCUGAAUAAAAAAUGUAAAAAAUGAAA